RNAcentral lists this ribosomal RNA (461 nucleotides) under uncultured bacterium. RNAcentral's name for it is "partial 16S ribosomal RNA". It matches the Rfam family "Bacterial small subunit ribosomal RNA", at positions 28 to 506 of the family's 1533-position model. The record is from RNAcentral.
GACGAACGCUGGCGGCGUGCUUAACACAUGCAAGUCGAACGGAAAGGCCCUUCGGGGUACUCGAGUGGCGAACGGGUGAGUAACACGUGGGUGAUCUGCCCUGCACUUUGGGAUAAGCCUGGGAAACUGGGUCUAAUACCGAAUAGGACCACGCGCUUCAUGGUGUGUGGGGGAAAGCUUUUGCGGUGUGGGAUGGGCCCGCGGCCGAUCAGCUUGUUGGUGGGGUAAUGGCCUACCAAGGCGACGACGGGUAGCCGGCCUGGGAGGGUGACCGGCCACACUGGGCCUGGGAUACGGCCCGGACUCCUCCGGGAGGCAGCGGUGGGGACUAUUGCACACUGGGCGCAGGCCUGAUGCAGCGACGCCGGGUGGGGGAUGCCGGCCUUCGGGUUGUAAACCUCUUUCAAUAGGCACGAAGCGCAAGUGACGGUACCUAUAGAAGAAGCACCGCCCACCUCCGU